This 425-nucleotide ribosomal RNA is filed under the name uncultured bacterium. RNAcentral describes it as "partial 16S ribosomal RNA". It matches the Rfam family "Bacterial small subunit ribosomal RNA", at positions 354 to 796 of the family's 1533-position model. The record is from RNAcentral.
GUGGGGAAUAUUGGACAAUGGGCGCAAGCCUGAUCCAGCCAUGCCGCGUGAGUGAUGAAGGCCUUAGGGUUGUAAAGCUCUUUCAGUGGGGACGAUAAUGACGGUACCCACAGAAGAAGCCCCGGCUAACUUCGUGCCAGCAGCCGCGGUAAUACGAAGGGGGCUAGUGUUGUUCGGAUUUACUGGGCGUAAAGCGCACGUAGGCGGAUCGUUAAGUCGGGGGUGAAAUCCUGGAGCUCAACUCCAGAACUGCCUUCGAUACUGGCGGUCUUGAGUCCGGAAGAGGUGAGUGGAACUCCUAGUGUAGAGGUGGAAUUCGUAGAUAUUAGGAAGAACACCAGUGGCGAAGGCGGCUCACUGGUCCGGUACUGACGCUGAGGUGCGAAAGCGUGGGGAGCAAACAGGAUUAGAUACCCUUGUAGUCC